ACGUCCCUCCUUUCGUUCUUCCUAGGGUUUGGCCCCGCCGCCGCUUUCUUCCACGACGUUUCCUGACCGUGCGCCGCCGCUCAACCGCGCCAACUCCCACGUAUCCGCCGCUGCUCGCCCGCUCGCUGGACUGGCGCCCCUCCACAUGCCCCGCGUGUGCUCAAGCUCCACCACGACAUGAGCUCGCCCAACUGACCGGCAUACCUAGGACCUGGCAGGGCAUCGGGUCACACAUAAUCCUGCUGGUGAUACUGCACCACGGCGGCGCGGCGGCAACAGCCCAAAUUUGCACGAUCCGGGACGCAACUAUACAUGGCUGAUCUCAGGUAUGUGACGCGUUGUUCCUUUUCCAAUCAGGCCAACACCUAUUGAUCAAUCGAUGCACUUCCUAGGAGCAGCAACUAUCCUGGUGAAGUCGAUGGCUAAGAGAUAUGAGAAAGUUCAUGCGUGGGAUAUCCCCUGGAUGCACCUGUUGGAGUGCAAAAUCUACAUGGUCAUCGUACUAAUUAGUAGCUCUUAGGUGCCACUCGCCGCUGGUCGAUGAUAGCAUGUAAAUUCUUGAUAUGUUCCUAAUUAAUUUGUUUUCCUACUCAUAUGACUGAUCGUGUUGAAACCAAUUUCUUCCGGUUCUUAGCUAGAUAUAUUUCUCACAAAUUGAAGUAAUUCUUGAAAUUAAAAUUAUAAUUUAUGACUUAAGUAGUACUUGGAGUCUUAGAUUGGCUCAAUGAUUAAGAGAGAGGAAAAAGCUAUUGCUGUUCCAAGCAAUGGAAAUCAUUUGGUGUAAUUACUACUUUAGUCAAUCUAAGUAUAUAAGGCAUUGGUCCAAUUUUAUUUUGCUACAGACAUGGAGGCACGUAAGAAUUAUCUUCCUCUGACUAAACAUUGAUGCUUAUGCUAUUUCCAUAAAAAAAACUUGAGGCUCAGUAUACUAUCGUUGAUAUGUUCUUGGAACUUUACAUGUCAAUCAUUUAUUAUUAUUUCAGACAAGAUUGAAAUUUAUCAUUAGAUAUUUAUGUGUAUGUCUGCUAAUAUGAUUUUGUGCUACUUCGCUGGUCUUCUGGUGCAAAACCAAAAUCAGCAAAUGAGAAAGUGAAAGCUGACAGAAAAAAAGCAUAACAAAAUAACAUGAUCAAGGAAAAACGAGUCAAGAAUCAAAAAGACUGAUAGUUGCUUGAUGAAAUUCCGGUAUGAGACAUGCGUCUAUGGAGAACUCCUUCCUCACUACCUUGGCACUGUCACAGAUUAGGCCCCUGCUAAAUAUUGAAGAGUUGUAUGUCCAACAAUUGGGGUACUUGAAAAAAUACUUAUGAUUUGUUCUUUCUACUACCAUGGAGUUGGAAAGGAUGCUAAUUGUGGGUUUACUGGUGAUGCUAAAUUAGGGGAGAGAGGCGCUGCCCCAUGACAUGGCUACAAUUUGAAGCUGCGGCUUACUGGAAGGAACAUGUGGUGCACUAUGAGAACAUCAGACGUUUUGCUGUUACCAUUGAGUAAGGUGCUUAUUUGGUAUCAUUUCUUGUAUUUGGAAUUUGUGAUGUUAAAUGGAUCCCUGGACAUGCGCCUUAAAUUUGUGGGCCUAGCGGUAUUCCUACUGCAUUUGUGAUGCAUUCAGCUUUUUGGCUUUUAGGCAUGUGAUGCUGUUACCAUCACAAGUUUAUAGUGUACGACCAUAUUAUCAUUUGACCUGCAGAAACCCCCUUUUCGUUAAAGUAGUUUUAAAAUUUUCUUCAUUAUUCUUCAUUAUUUACUUAACAAUAUUUCUCUGGCUAUUUAUAGUAUUCAGCAGAGGAUGAGAGAAUAAAGUAAAUUAUAAUGGCCACAUACCUUCAGAAUUUUCUUAGGUUCUGUUGUUGCACAAUGAGAUUAAAUUGUAAUAGAAGCAGCUCCUAUCCUUAUGAAAUGCAAGUGUGUAUUUUACGGUAGGACCAUGUCUUUGGACCCUCUUCCCUACGUACUAGCAGUAUCUACAUAACACCACAUGUCCAUUACGUACUCAAAACAUGUGAAAAAAGUAUGGAAAGUGCGUUCAUUUAACUACGUGAUAUUUGCAGAAAUAUAUUUAAGAGUACCAACAAUCAGUGCCGUUCGAGUACGAGUGCCUAAUUCUGCUCCCAAACAAACACAAUCAAACUAGAUCACGUCAUAGGAAAAAUGAAUCUUCCACUAGACGAAAAUGGUAGCCCAUGUGCACAUACUAUAAAUAUUGUGUACCGUUAAGUGCUGACAAGCCUUCAAGAUGAUUUGCUACACAUACUCUUUCUCCUUUCUGUGGACCUGUAUCAUGUUUCUAUAAACCGCAGUAUAACUGGUCGCAUAUAUGAUAAGUAGUGAUGUCUGACCUUUUACCGUGUUUAAGCUAUGUUUCCUCUUACACUUUCAUAUUAGCUUCUAAGAAACAAUUUCCUUAUUUUUUGAAGUAAAUGUACAUCUGUGCCAGCUAGCUUCCCCUAUGUAUUCAAACUGAUGAAGUAGACAGUUUGCAUCGAGGUAUCUAUUAUGUUAGCACCUGCCAUCGAAAAUACCAUGUAAAAUUUUAUCCUUCUACCUAUUGAUUUAGCACGUCUAAACACUAUCAAUGCGCCACAAUAUCAAUCCCUUAAGUAUCCAUGUAAUGCCACGCAUUUUUAUAUUCACCUACCUAUUGCUGUAGAAAUCCUGCACACUACCAAUGAACCCCGACAUCAAGUAGCUAAGUAUCCAUGUAUAAUAUUAUUGUACUUGAUUUGGUCCUGAUUUGCUUAAGUUUUCCGGUUCAUUGAUGUUUUGAAUCAUCAAUAACCGAGAUGGGAUUUCCGGUUGGUUUAGGGUCACAUGAAUUAUGCCCCAAUAUGUAGAGUAUUCAAAUAUAUCAUGACUUGAAGGUAUGCCGCCUUUUGCUUUUUUGUUUUUGUUUUGAUUCACUAAUUUCUAAACCUACUCAUUCUGGUCUUGCUUCAGUUGCUUUACAUCCAUUUGUCCUUUCACCUUUUUUCUUGAGCAUACAAAGUUAGGCAUCUACUGCGGUUUUCGCUACCUUUCAUUGAGUACAUGUUCCAGUUUUGUUGGUUUUGAAGUAUGUGUACUGUGAUUAAAAUAGGGAAGACCGUGUCUUCUACAUAUAUUUUUUUCAUCUAAAAGGUAUAUAUUUGGCAUUACAAAUUUGUCAAGAAAGGUAUUAUGGCAUUCAUCCUGGAGACCAAGAUGCAAAAUGACAAGCAGCAAGCUUAUUAUUUGUCUAAGCUACAGGUUUUUGUGGUAUGUCUUUUGCAUAGGCCAACACACAUUGUAAUAUGAAAAGAUCAUCAUUCGUUCUACUUUUUUGAUAAAUCAUUUGUAUCCCUUAAAGAAUCAUCGAGAAAAAGUGAUUUUGCGGAUUGGUUGUAACCGAUUCUGAUAAGCCAUUUUCUCCUAUGCUACAGGCAAUGUACUGGAAAAUGCAUUGGAGAGACUGAAACAGGAGACCUUAGAGAGGGAGAAAAGAGGUAUGCGGAAUGGGUCCACCAAGAGACAUACAUGGACGCCAAGGAAAGCAUGUAAAUAAAGGGUUGACAAACAAAUAAUGUAUUUAAUUAAGCCAUGUAUUGAGGAAUACGGCACAUGUUUCCAGUACUGAAACUCACUAUCUUGAUUUUAUGAUAUAUUGAAUUUGAUGCUAGGGAAGAUGGUUACUUUGGUGCAUGAUCUUAUAGCACCUUAAGGCAGUUUAUAAAUGUAUUAUGGUAUCUAUUUGUAAAACAAAACUAUUUCUUGCGGUCUGCUAUUAUUACUGAA
Molecule: non-coding RNA, 3747 nt
Organism: Lolium perenne
Lineage: Eukaryota; Viridiplantae; Streptophyta; Magnoliopsida; Poales; Poaceae
Source: RefSeq, a predicted model, not a curated record